RNAcentral lists this long non-coding RNA (979 nucleotides) under Homo sapiens (human). RNAcentral's name for it is "HSALNT0331297". The record is from RNAcentral. Lineage: Eukaryota; Metazoa; Chordata; Mammalia; Primates; Hominidae.
CAGGAGUUCAAGACCAGCCUGGCCAACAAGAGGUUUAUUUCGAACAACUGGCAAUUCCAGGAAUGAUGGAAUAAAGCAUACGAAGUAGAAGGACUGGAACCUCCAGAAAAAGUACUUUAAGUUACCUACAGGUGAUCCUAGUCAGGUAUGAAUUGAUAAGAAAUGCCUGCACCUUCCCUCCUUCCUAUCUUUCCCUUGCCUACAGAAAAUUAAAAGGCAAAACAAUGGACAUCUACAUAUUCUUCAUUCAGAUCAACCAGUGGCUAGCAUUUGCCACCUUUUGCAGUUUCUUUCUCUUUCCAUAAGUACUUUCUUCUCUGAAUCAUUUGAAAGCAAAUGAAAACAGUAGCCUAAAGUGUCAGUUUCAACCCGAAAAUAACAGCUCUGAUUUCUCAUGGCUCACACUCGUCUGAAAUGACUCGGGUAGAGGCUGAGGAAGGCUGUGUUGUUUGUCUACCUGGGACUACACCUACUGAAAGAAGUUCUCAAGUUCUGAUUGAGUUCUAAAAUUCUUUUGAAGAUUGGAAUUCUUCAUAUGUAAAAAGAGAAGAGAAAGACAUUCUUGAUUUUGGUGACUAGAGUUGUAGAUGCUGGAAGCUUUGCCACUAACAUUGAUGAACCAGAUGCAUGUCACCAGCCCAUCACGGUGAUUCUUAAUGCCGGCACCAUGGGCCGGCACUGCCACGUUUUCCAAGGAACCUGCCAGAGCUCCUGCGGAAGCUGCUCCUCGGGCGAUGGAGUCCCUUUGCUGCUAGGCCCUUCUUCAGUCACCACAGGAUGCCUGCCAUUCAUGAACAGGAAGGAGAGGACGGGCUUUGAAUAAAAAACAGGAUCCAGGAAAUAUUUGUGAGGCCAUUUGGACUUCAGUGUGAAAUGGUGUUAAAAGAUGAAGUCAUUUAUUCAAGAAGUAAACCUCUGCCACCUGGACUGUGCUCAGACAUUUCAUUGAUUUUGUUUAAUAAACAUUUUCUGGCUUUGG